AGGGAUCAUUACCGAGUUUACAACUCCCAAACCCAAUGUGAACCAUACCAAACUGUUGCCUCGGCGGGGUCACGCCCCGGGUGCGUCGCAGCCCCGGAACCAGGCGCCCGCCGGAGGGGCCAACCAAACUCUUUUCUGUAGUCCCCUCGCGGACGUUAUUUCUUACAGCUCUGAGCAAAAAUUCAAAAUGAAUCAAAACUUUCAACAACGGAUCUCUUGGUUCUGGCAUCGAUGAAGAACGCAGCGAAAUGCGAUAAGUAAUGUGAAUUGCAGAAUUCAGUGAAUCAUCGAAUCUUUGAACGCACAUUGCGCCCGCCAGUAUUCUGGCGGGCAUGCCUGUCCGAGCGUCAUUUCAACCCUCGAACCCCUCCGGGGGGUCGGCGUUGGGGAUCGGGAACCCCUAAGACGGGAUCCCGGCCCCGAAAUACAGUGGCGGUCUCGCCGCAGCCUCUCCUGCGCAGUAGUUUGCACAACUCGCACCGGGAGCGCGGCGCGUCCACGUCCGUAAAACACCCAACUUCUGAAAUGUUGACCUCGGAUCAGGUAGGAAUACCCGCUGAACUUAA
This 566-nucleotide ribosomal RNA is filed under the name uncultured Trichoderma. RNAcentral's name for it is "eukaryotic LSU rRNA". The stretch from base 197 to 350 matches the Rfam family "5.8S ribosomal RNA". Lineage: Eukaryota; Fungi; Ascomycota; Sordariomycetes; Hypocreales; Hypocreaceae. The record is from RNAcentral.